CGUUAGCGGCGCGCCUAACACAUGCAAGUCGCACGAGAAAGGGAGCAACUCCCCGGUACAGUGGCGCGACGGGUGAGUAACACGUAGAUGACCUUCCCUGGAGUGGUGGAUAACCUGCCGAAAGGCGGGCUAAUACAGCAUGGGACCACAUGGUUUUGACCGAGUGGUGAAAGCGGGCCUCUGUUCACAAGCUCGCGCUCUGGGAUGGGUCUGCGUCCCAUCAGCUAGUUGGUGAGGUAAUGGCUCACCAAGGCAUCGACGGGUAGCUGGUCUGAGAGGAUGACCAGCCACACUGGAACUGAGACACGGUCCAGACUCCUACGGGAGGCAGCAGGUGGGGAAUCUUGCGCAAUGGGCGAAAGCCUGACGCAGCGACGCCGCGUGGGUGAUGAAGGCCUUCGGGUUGUAAAGCCCUGUGGGGAGGAACGAACCGUACGGGGGCGAACACCCUCCGUACCUGACGGUACCUCCUUAGCAAGCAUCGGCUAACUCUGUG
RNAcentral lists this ribosomal RNA (496 nucleotides) under uncultured bacterium. Its description in RNAcentral is "bacterial SSU rRNA". It matches the Rfam family "Bacterial small subunit ribosomal RNA", at positions 34 to 507 of the family's 1533-position model. The record is from RNAcentral.